Molecule: ribosomal RNA, 497 nt
Filed under: uncultured bacterium
Lineage: Bacteria
Description: partial 16S ribosomal RNA
Rfam family: Bacterial small subunit ribosomal RNA
Source: RNAcentral
GACGAACGCUGGCGGCGUGCCUAAUACAUGCAAGUUGAGCGAUGAAGAUUGGUGCUUGCACCAAUUUGAAGAGCAGCGAACGGGUGAGUAACGCGUGGGGAAUCUGCCUUUGAGCGGGGGACAACAUUUGGAAACGAAUGCUAAUACCGCAUAGCAACUUUAAACAUAAGUUUUAAGUUUGAAAGAUGCAAUUGCAUCACUCAAAGAUGAUCCCGCGUUGUAUUAGCUAGUUGGUGAGGUAAAGGCUCACCAAGGCGAUGAUACAUAGCCGACCUGAGAGGGUGAUCGGCCACAUUGGGACUGAGACACGGCCCAAUCUCCUACGGGAGGCAGCAGUAGGGAAUCUUCGGCAAUGGACGAAAGUCUGACCGAGCAACGCCGCGGGAGUGAAGAAGGUUUUCGGAUCGUAAAACUCUGUUGGUAGAGAAGAACGUUGGUGAGAGUGGAAAGCUCAUCAAGUGACGGUAACUACCCAGAAAGGGACGGCUAACUACGUG